GAUCCUGGCUCAGAUUGAACGCUGGCGGCAGGCCUAACACAUGCAAGUCGAACGGUAACAGGAAGCAGCUUGCUGCUUUGCUGACGAGUGGCGGACGGGUGAGUAAUGUCUGGGAAACUGCCUGAUGGAGGGGGAUAACUACUGGAAACGGUAGCUAAUACCGCAUAACGUCGCAAGACCAAAAGAGGGGGACCUUCGGGCCUCUUGCCAUCGGAUGUGCCCAGAUGGGAUUAGCUUGUUGG
This 242-nucleotide ribosomal RNA is filed under the name uncultured bacterium. Its description in RNAcentral is "partial 16S ribosomal RNA". It matches the Rfam family "Bacterial small subunit ribosomal RNA", at positions 15 to 252 of the family's 1533-position model. The record is from RNAcentral.